Rosa chinensis is the source of this 230-nucleotide long non-coding RNA. RefSeq lists it as uncharacterized. Lineage: Eukaryota; Viridiplantae; Streptophyta; Magnoliopsida; Rosales; Rosaceae. The record is from RefSeq and is a predicted model, not a curated record. The transcript has 3 exons.
UUCUACUGCCACUGUUCCUUUGUGUAUUGGUUAAUACUAUCUUGACCUCUUAUUCUUAUUCAGAUUGUUGGAACAGUGUGCAGUCAGAUUGUUUAACUGCUUUGAAUUCAGUUAUGGCUCCAAAGAUGAGGUGGACAAGAAGUAAGAGAUUGUUAGAGUAGUAUGAAGAUGAAAAUCAUUAUGCUGAAAGGGAAGUCCAAGAAAUAUCUAAUGACCAGAAUGUAAUUGGU